Long non-coding RNA from Amaranthus tricolor (Joseph's coat), 786 nucleotides. RefSeq lists it as uncharacterized. The transcript has 4 exons. NCBI's taxonomy places the organism in Eukaryota, Viridiplantae, Streptophyta, Magnoliopsida, Caryophyllales, Amaranthaceae. The record is from RefSeq and is a predicted model, not a curated record.
AUAAAAUAAAAUAAAAAUAAAAACCCAAACCAUUCCUUCUUCUUUCUCACGCGAGGAACUCAAGAAAACCAGGCAACCAUUUUCUCCUUCCUUCCCUUUCGUAUGAACCAGCAAGAUCACCUCCUCCUUCUCUCUCUCGCCGCCAUACCCUUUGAAAAUGGCGGAUUUACACUGAAAUUCUUCAACUAAUCGUCGAUCUCCUUCCCUUCACGACAUCCCUCUUUGAAUCUUUAAACCCUUAUUUCUCGAAAUUUCUUUGAAGAAAACGUCAAUGGCUGCAAGGGCAUGACCCGUUCUUCUUCCCUCUGAUCUUCGAAGGACCUACAUGCAAAAUCAAGUAUAGAAUCAUCCGAAUUCUUCCUUCACUGACUUGAAUUCUGCCGAAUUGGGGAAGGAAUCAGCGAGUUUUGGUCCCGUUGAUUAAACAUCAAAUUCAAACCGAAAAUAAAGCUUUGAACCUGAAAUUGUUUCGUUUCUUGUUGCUGCAAGCAGAAGGAGGCGACGUCAUCGAGGAACCUUUCUAGUUGAUAGCUGCGAAUCGAUCUUGGCUAUCUGAAGCGUCGUCUUUGCUUGUUUACAGAUCGGAACCGGUCGGGAACGAUGGGUUAACAGUGUUGAAUAGCGUUCCAUGGAUGUAUAUUAUUUGUAGUUUUGUAUUAGGUUUUUGGAUAAAUGUAUAUUUGUUUUGGCUGUGCUGGUGAUAUUGGACUUGUAAAGAAUUGUAUUAUUAUCUUGUGUAUUAAUUAGAUAUUGGUUUUGGGAUUUAGCUGAGUUAGUCACGUUGAA